RNAcentral lists this small RNA (31 nucleotides) under Bombyx mori (domestic silkworm). RNAcentral's name for it is "ovarian small RNA-34864". Lineage: Eukaryota; Metazoa; Arthropoda; Insecta; Lepidoptera; Bombycidae. The record is from RNAcentral.
UGGCGAGCGCCGCAGUGCCCCUGAACGGGCG